GACAGCUUGUUCCAAAGCGCCACAAAGGAGACGUUACGCAAACAAAAGAGAGAGAGAGAGAGACGCGAGACGCAGAGAGGCAGGCCGGAGGAGGGACCUUCGGCGGCUGAUUCAUCAGGUGCUCCUGGUUUCCUGCCAUAUGAAGCCAAACAUUCGCGGUUUUGCUGGCCAAACAUCCCACGCUUUCUUCGUCUUCACCCACGCUCUCCAUUGGUGACCUGGGCCGUCCGCGCACUCGCCACCGGGCCGGCUUGCACGACGGCUGCCGUUUGAUUCACGCUGCAGCCAGCCGCCUCGCGGUUCAUUCUGCGGCUCGCCGAACACAACACUCCACCCGUGACAACACGGGACAUUGCAUUCUCCGGGAGAUGUCUGUCAUGCGACCAGUUCAUGUCGUGCAGGUGCCAGAGUCCAAAAUUCCAAAUGAGGUGAAAUACUGGCGUAUUAAUCGCGUUGUGUUAUGAACCCAAUGACCCGAGUUCGAUUCCCGGCCGUGGCGAAUAUAGUUGGCGAGUGAUAUCAGAACCGAUUAUGGGUCCCCCUUCACCAACACGCACUGACCAGCAUGGUAAAAGUACCCCCAGCGCUGACACAGCAUUAGUAGGCCUUCAUCCAGCGGUAGAUUGGCAAAGGGAUAUUGAUGCCUUUUUAAACAUCAUUACAGUAUUAUGAAUAACAAAAUAAAAAUUCUAAUAAUGACGCCCAUGCCCAAGUAACAUCUCUCUGGAGAACGAGAGCAUUGACUCACAGUAGGCCAACAACUGGUUAACAAAAGGACAGCGGACGGAAGAUCACAGACGGACGACGCACGGAUGCAUUUACAUUCCCCAGAAGUGUUUACGAGCUUACAGUACAGUGCAUCACCAAGGCUGACAGAUUAAUUUUCAGGAAGAGCCAUGGGGCGACAGCGCCACAUGGAGUCUGCGGAGUAACCUUUUAAAAAUUUAUUGUUAAUUACCUUUAGAGCGCAGCGCUUUUCAUCACAUCUGCUGAACAAAAUCAAAUCAGCCUUUACGCAAAGAAACACAUUUGUCGAAGUAAAAGUGGGUGAAACCAAGACCAUUUAAUACAUAAUCAUGCCAGCCUCAUUCAUGAGUUUUGUGUGCCACUGGAAAGAAUAGCACACUAUAAAAUUACAUUAAUAAGACACACUUUAGAAUUAUAUCUGGAACACUGCUCAGAUUUACGCUGCACAUUGUUGGUGAUCCAUCCAUUGGAGGAGAAUUUAGUUUCGUGAGUAAGUAAAUGUUAAAGA
Molecule: long non-coding RNA, 1255 nt
Organism: Lethenteron reissneri (Far Eastern brook lamprey)
Lineage: Eukaryota; Metazoa; Chordata; Hyperoartia; Petromyzontiformes; Petromyzontidae
Source: RefSeq, a predicted model, not a curated record